This 401-nucleotide ribosomal RNA is filed under the name Unio longirostris. Its description in RNAcentral is "partial 16S ribosomal RNA". The stretch from base 60 to 401 matches the Rfam family "Bacterial large subunit ribosomal RNA", at positions 2048 to 2620 of the family's 2925-position model. The record is from RNAcentral. Lineage: Eukaryota; Metazoa; Mollusca; Bivalvia; Unionida; Unionidae.
AGGCCAGUGAAUGGCAAGACUAGGAAUAUCUGUACUUUGUAUAUGAAAAAAACUUUUCAUCUAAGUGAAAAGACUUAGAUAAUAAAGGAAGACGAAAAGACCCCGCGGAACUUUACCUUUUCUCAUACCUCUGUCUACAAACUUAAAAGUCUAUAAGGUUUGAUUGGGGCAAUCUUGGAACCAACAAAGCUUCCAACGACUUACAAUAUUUAUACAAAAUUUGUUAAAGACUAAAAAGUAGUUACCCCGGGGAUAACAGCGUAAUCCAACUAAAGAGUACACAUCGAAAGUUGGGUUUGCGACCUCGAUGUUGGCUUAAGGAUAUCCACAUAAGUGCAACCGCUAUGACAGGAUAGUCUGUUCGACUAUUAUACCCUUACAUGAUCUGAGUUCAGACCGGA